RNAcentral lists this ribosomal RNA (559 nucleotides) under Pichia ethanolica. RNAcentral's name for it is "eukaryotic LSU rRNA". It matches the Rfam family "Eukaryotic large subunit ribosomal RNA", at positions 62 to 648 of the family's 3401-position model. Lineage: Eukaryota; Fungi; Ascomycota; Pichiomycetes; Pichiales; Pichiaceae. The record is from RNAcentral.
AAACCAACAGGGAUUGCCUCAGUAGCGGCGAGUGAAGCGGCAAGAGCUCAGAUUUGAAAUCGUGUUUCGGCACGAGUUGUAGAGUGUAGGCKGGAGUCUCUGUGGAGCGCGGUGUCCAAGUCCCUUGGAACAGGGUGCCUGAGAGGGUGAGAGCCCCGUGGGGUGCUGCGCGAAGCUUUGAGGCCCUGCUGACGAGUCGAGUUGUUUGGGAAUGCAGCUCUAAGCGGGUGGUAAAUUCCAUCUAAGGCUAAAUAUUGGCGAGAGACCGAUAGCGAACAAGUACUGUGAAGGAAAGAUGAAAAGCACUUUGAAAAGAGAGUGAAACAGCACGUGAAAUUGUUGAAAGGGAAGGGUAUUGGGCCCGACAUGGGGAGUGCGCACCGCUGUCUCUUGUAGGCGGCGCUCUGGGCGCUCUCUGGGCCAGCAUCGGUUCUUGCUGCGAGAGAAGUGGUGCCGGAAAGUGGCUCUUCGGAGUGUUAUAGCCGGUGCCGGAUGUCGCGUGCGGGGACCGAGGGCUGCGACAUCUGUCUCGGAUGCUGGCACAACGGCGCAAUACCGC